GACGAACGCUGGCGGCGCGCCUAACACAUGCAAGUCGAACGAGAGAUGAGGAGCUUGCUCUUCAAAUCGAGUGGCGAACGGGUGAGUAACGCGUGAGGAACCUGCCUCAAAGAGGGGGACAACAGUUGGAAACGACUGCUAAUACCGCAUAAGCCCACGGCUCGGCAUCGAGCAGAGGGAAAAGGAGCAAUCCGCUUUGAGAUGGCCUCGCGUCCGAUUAGCUAGUUGGUGAGGUAACGGCCCACCAAGGCGACGAUCGGUAGCCGGACUGAGAGGUUGAACGGCCACAUUGGGACUGAGACACGGCCCAGACUCCUACGGGAGGCAGCAGUGGGGAAUAUUGCACAAUGGGGGAAACCCUGAUGCAGCGACGCCGCGUGGAGGAAGAAGGUCUUCGGAUUGUAAACUCCUGUUGUUGAGGAAGAUAAUGACGGUACUCAACAAGGAAGUGACGGCUAACUACGUGCCAGCAGCCGCGGUAAAACGUAGGUCACAAGCGUUGUCCGGAAUUACUGGGUGUAAAGGGAGCGCAGGCGGGAGGACAAGUUGGAAGUGAAAUCCAUGGGCUCAACCCAUGAACUGCUUUCAAAACUGUUUUUCUUGAGUAGUGCAGAGGUAGGCGGAAUUCCCGGUGUAGCGGUGGAAUGCGUAGAUAUCGGGAGGAACACCAGUGGCGAAGGCGGCCUACUGGGCACCAACUGACGCUGAGGCUCGAAAGUGUGGGUAGCAAACAGGAUUAGAUACCCUGGUAGUCCACACCGUAAACGAUGAUUACUAGGUGUUGGAGGAUUGACCCCUUCAGUGCCGCAGUUAACACAAUAAGUAAUCCACCUGGGGAGUACGACCGCAAGGUUGAAACUCAAAGGAAUUGACGGGGGCCCGCACAAGCAGUGGAGUAUGUGGUUUAAUUCGACGCAACGCGAAGAACCUUACCAAGUCUUGACAUCCUGCGACGCACAUAGAAAUAUGUGUUUCCUUCGGGACGCAGAGACAGGUGGUGCAUGGUUGUCGUCAGCUCGUGUCGUGAGAUGUUGGGUUAAGUCCCGCAACGAGCGCAACCCUUAUGGUCAGUUACUACGCAAGAGGACUCUGGCCAGACUGCCGUUGACAAAACGGAGGAAGGUGGGGAUGACGUCAAAUCAUCAUGCCCUUUAUGACUUGGGCUACACACGUACUACAAUGGCGUUAAACAAAGAGAAGCAAGACCGCGAGGUGGAGCAAAACUCAGAAACAACGUCCCAGUUCGGACUGCAGGCUGCAACUCGCCUGCACGAAGUCGGAAUUGCUAGUAAUCGUGGAUCAGCAUGCCACGGUGAAUACGUUCCCGGGCCGU
RNAcentral lists this ribosomal RNA (1333 nucleotides) under uncultured bacterium. Its description in RNAcentral is "bacterial SSU rRNA". It matches the Rfam family "Bacterial small subunit ribosomal RNA", at positions 28 to 1382 of the family's 1533-position model. The record is from RNAcentral.